RNAcentral lists this ribosomal RNA (253 nucleotides) under uncultured Gluconobacter sp. RNAcentral's name for it is "partial 16S ribosomal RNA". It matches the Rfam family "Bacterial small subunit ribosomal RNA", at positions 524 to 776 of the family's 1533-position model. The record is from RNAcentral. Lineage: Bacteria; Pseudomonadati; Pseudomonadota; Alphaproteobacteria; Acetobacterales; Acetobacteraceae.
UACGAAGGGGGCUAGCGUUGCUCGGAAUGACUGGGCGUAAAGGGCGCGUAGGCGGUUUAUGCAGUCAGAUGUGAAAUCCCCGGGCUUAACCUGGGAACUGCAUUUGAGACGCAUAGACUAGAGGUCGAGAGAGGGUUGUGGAAUUCCCAGUGUAGAGGUGAAAUUCGUAGAUAUUGGGAAGAACACCGGUGGCGAAGGCGGCAACCUGGCUCGAUACUGACGCUGAGGCGCGAAAGCGUGGGGAGCAAACAGG